This 253-nucleotide ribosomal RNA is filed under the name uncultured bacterium. Its description in RNAcentral is "partial 16S ribosomal RNA". It matches the Rfam family "Bacterial small subunit ribosomal RNA", at positions 524 to 776 of the family's 1533-position model. The record is from RNAcentral.
UACGUAGGGGCCGAGCGUUGUCCGGAAUUACUGGGCGUGAAGCGCGCGCAGGCGGCCCCGCGCGCCCGGCGUGAAAGCCGCCGGCUCAACCGGGGAGCGUCGUCGGGGACGGCGGGGCUUGAGGGCGGGAGGGGCCGGUGGAAUCCCUGGUGUAGUGGUGAAAUGCGUAGAGAUCAGGGGGAACACCCGUGGCGAAGGCGGCCGGCUGGCCUGACCCUGACGCUGAGGCACGAAAGCGUGGGGAUCGAACAGG